GUGACGCGGGUUUGCAGUUUGUUAGGGAGUGCGAGCGGCAGAGAGGCUGCUCACAAUGGAGCCUUUAUCCCGGAGAGUUCCAAUCGGAACGGGUACGAGGUCGGUCAAGUAGCCACCAACUCAGUCCCGGGUCCCAGAUCCUCCCGCUGCUCCUCCACUGCUUCUAAUUCCACCGCUUUGGAUCCAACCAAUGCUGACUCAUGUAUUGAUGACAGAAGAUUGGUUUAAAUUAACAAAGAUGCCUCUUUCAUUGACCCUGAAGAUUGCUGUGCUUAAUGCAGUGGAGCUUUUAUCAGCACAGUACAUAUGUGAUUCAUAACAGAUAAGUAGAAAGUGAUGCUAGGACUCCAUUUGUAUUUCUAAAUUAAUACUAGAUAAUAUUUCAUUUUAAAAAAAGCACAAUCCUUUCUAUAAACUGGCCUGUUAAAUGUUGCAUUAUUGUCAAAAAUAUCUGAAUGUUGAUCUAAAAAAAAAGAGUAGGGGAGCAGUAUGUUACAAGAUUACAAAAGACAAGAGUCAAUACCACAAACAAUAGUGUUUUCAUUGUAAAAUCUGUGUUUAAGAACACACUAAAAUAUUUUACGAUAACUCUUAAAACUCAACUGUUUAGCAGGCAACAAGUCAGAAAUACUUCCUUAAUUCAUGGAAUCCUAUAGAGUGGAAGGAGAUCAUUUGGCCUAUCAAGUCACGCCCUACCCUGUGAGGAGCUUCCUACCCAGGUCCAACCCUUUACCCAAUCCCUGUAACCCUGCAUUUCCCACAGCUAAUCCACCUAGCCUGCACACCCCCUAGACACUACGGACAACUAAGCAUGGCCAGUACACCUAAUCUGCACAUCUUUGGUCUGUGGGAAGAAAAACACACAGACACAUGGAGAACAUGCAAAUUCAAGACAGUUGCCCCGAGAAUGGAAUCGAACCUGUAACCCCACUGCUGUGAGGCAGUAGAGCUAGCCACUGAGUUACUGUGAAUUGCAGUAGUUCCUCUCAGCAUAAUAUGUAUUUAAGAUGUAUCAGAAAAGAGAGACUUAUUUGUACAGCACUUUGCACAAUCACUGGAUGUCUCAAAGUGUCUUGUAGCUAGUGAAGUAUGUCUGAAGUGUAAGCACAGCUGUGAUGUAAGAAAUGGAUAAACAUUUAGUUUUGCAAACAGCAGUCCCAGUUUGAUCAUUGAGAAAGUACUAAUUCAUAAUCAAUUCAGACUUCUGAGGACUAAAGAUCCAUCUUGUAUCCAACUUGCACAUUUAUUUUGUGCUGAGUUUUCUUCACACUAUACAUGUUUCAACUGCGCAAGGGUAGCUUACACUGAAUGGAUCACAGUGUGGCCUAAGCAGAUUGAUUUUUAAAAUUUGUUUCGCUUUUAUCUUUGUCAGCAAGUCCUUGGCCUCUGCUGCUUGUAAUUAUACUCCUGCUUCAAAACAGUCAAAAAUUGUCACAAUGGAAUUUUUUGUUUGGAGCAAACUUGCACCCUAGAACCCUACAUUGGGAGAAGCAACACAGCUUCCAUAUUGCGAAGGAAGAUUGUGGUCUGUACAUCAAAAGUAAAAUACAUGUUUUAUUCUAGCGGCUGUUUUAUACCAGCCUUUCUGUUGUUAUGCCCUCUGAUCGCAUGUAUGUUCACGUACUAUGAUAAAAUUGCACAAGAAAACAUGAAUUCUUUUGUACUACCUAAAGUACAAAGUUGUAAUCUGGAACAGUAAACAAUUUUGACAUAUCCAGUGAUACUGAAAAGGACAGAUUACAUUUAACAUAUCGCAACUGACUAAAAUAAGGGGCAAUAUAAAGAUAAUCUUUAUUUCCUGUUUUCCCCUGCAAUCACAUUUUUGCUGAUUUGGCAAUUCUGUUGUCGGACCACAUUGAGAUGUUUUCCCAACCCAGUCCAAAUUUAGCUUCUACAGCUAUGCUUGAAAUUACAAAAUUUGUCAUAAUGGAUUAAAUGUAAAAGGUUUUGGGACUUGUCACAAUACACUUGGACUACAUUGCAGUGCUUAUAAUUAUAAAACUAAAUGAGUAGAGACUUGUUCAUGUAUGUCGUCAGUAAGAUUAAGCUGUGCAUUUAAUUCUCAAUAUUGGACGCUUAAUCACUGGCUGUUUCUCCUUGUAUUUUGAUUGAAUAUUUAAUACUGAAACUCUAGAAUUUUUUUUAAAAUUAGGCUGGCACAGAAUUUCUAGUAUUUAAAACAUUAGCAAGAUCACUUGUGGAAGUGAGUAAUAUUCAUGCUUUUAAUCCUACAAGAUCAAAACUGUAAACAUUUCUGCUUCUAUUAUUAAAUCAUUUGGUCUAUUAAUUCAUGCUUUGUUGCAAGUGUAUUUCAAUACUAAUCCUAUUGCUUUCUUGUCUUCCCAUAGCCGUGUGUUUUCCUAAUUUAAAAAUUGAGCUGCAGGUUGUAUCAUUAAGUGAAUAAAACAUGUAGGCAACAGAACAUUUUAUUCUAUAGUGGUUCUGAAUGCAAGUUGUAAAAUAUUUAAUAAAAGUCUUAAUUUUGGUUUUAAAUUAAACUGAAAAGCCCAAAUAGACAUCCAACAUAAUAAAACUGGAAAAUGCUGGAAAAAUUCAGCAGGUCUGGUAGCUUAUGUGGAGAGAGACACAAUUCUGAAGAAGUUUUUAGACUUGAAACAUUCAUUCUUGUUUGUCCCUUCACAGAUACACUCGGACCUAACUGAGUUUCUGGUGGCACUUUGUUUUUAUUUUGGAUUUCCAGCAUCUGCAUUCUUUUUGUUUGAUUUAACAUCAGUUAAUAACAUGAUUUCUUUUUGAAAAUUAGUAUGACAGAUGUGUAGAAUUGUUUAAAAUUAAAGUAAAUUAUGGUUAUAAACUCUGUUCUCAAAUUUUGUCAUCAUAUAGAUCAACGUAUAUGUUAUGAUUUGUAUAGUUUUUACAAUAGUGCUGCACUGACUUGCACAAAAUACACAACUGAUCAGUCAUCACCUGAAAGAAAAGUAGAAGUUAAUGUUGCAAAUGAAAACUUGCAGUGAAUGAAGGCCUCAUCUUAAAAUGUUGACUUGUCUUUUUUCACUUUCAUACGUUUACUAAUUUUCACCUUAAAAAAAAUUGAGAAACUCAUGCGAAUUGUAUUGAACAAACCUAAGUUUAGAAAGAAGAGCAAUUAAAUUGGGAACUACUUUUUUUUCAGUCUGUACGGUGCGCUGUAGGAAGAACAGAGGAAAGGAUCUAUUGAUCACUAAUGAUAAAAAGCAGACUUGUUAAAUGAGUUGAAGGUCAACUGUGUGAAAUUGAAUAAUGGCAUUAUAUUUACCUAGUACAUUUCACAGAAACAUUACAAAUAAAAAUAUGAAGAACAGUUUAAAAAAAGUCUUCACUAGAUGUGGGCAUCACUGAGUGGACCUGCAUUUAUUGGCUAUACUCAGUGAAUUGAAUAAGAAAUGCUGAUCUAGCCAGUGAUCGCCAUAUCCUGUGAACAAAUAAAUAUGCAAGUGCCGUGGUAUCUUAUUUUGUUCUAUGAUGCUCCUAUGAAGUAUCUUUUUUAGUACAUUAAUGGCACUAUAUGGAAAUCAUAGGGCAGAUGACCAUAAAACUAGGUCGGACGUGUUUUUAAAGGAGCAUCUUGCAAGAAGAAAAUGCAGUAGAAAAGUGGACCCAUUUAGGGAGGGAUUUCUGGAGUUAAGGCCAAGGCAACUUAAGGCAUAUCCACCAUUGGUGGAACAAUUUAAAAUCAACUAUUUCAGGCCAGACAUGGAAGAGCAUGUGCUUUGAAUGGUUGUAGGCCUGGAUGAGAUUCCACAGACUGAGGGACAACCAUGAAGGAGUUUGAAAACAAGGAUGAGAAUUUUAAAAAUCAAGAUAUUGCCUCAAUGGAAUGUUCAUCAGGAAGUUUUCCAUGGACGCUGCCUGACUUGCUGUGAUUUUCGGCGUUUAAAAAAAAUACAAGGCACACGUUGGGACACAGGCAGGAGAGUUUUAAGUGAUUUCCCGUUUAGAGAGGAUUGAACAUGGAAAGCUGGUCAGGAGUCAAGCUGAGAUAAUUUUGAGCAUGGAUAAAAGAUUUCAGCUGCUCAGAAUGUGUUAAAGUGAAAUGGAGUUCAGUGAUAUUGAAGACUUGGAUAUUCUUCACGGGUUCAGAUACAAUACACAUAGUUGGCAGGUACAGGAACAGUGUAUUUUCAAGUCUGAAACUAAUCAGUACUAAAGUGAUAAGUGCAAUGCCUGUCUUGGAUAUGUAACAAAUAUUCAAACGUUGGGCAGAUUUGGCUUGAUAAGAGUCAUGAGGAAGUGAAAUGAGGGUGGAAAAUAUCUGACAGGAAAAAUUACACUAAAUGUAGCUAAUCUAACAAUGGUGAUGUGACAGUUCCUCACUCUGCAUGUGGAACUACCAAUUUUGAUAAAGAUGAAGGAAUAUUACGGAUACAGCCUCCGAAGGUAGGCGAUCAUUGUUAUGUUAAAAUUCGUAAAGGCAUGAGUAAACUGUUUCUUUUGAACAGAGUGAAACAAGAUUUUUAUUCAGCCAUUGACUGUCACGGAAGAAAUGAGGAAGUCAUUCAACCACUACACUGAGAGCACAUUUUUGGGAUGAGGCUGUGCAAAUUACCAAUUUAACACUUCCUUCAUUUUCUGUUUAGAUUUCAUGGUUCAACAUUUUUGAUUUUUCCUUUUUUAAUUUUAUCUGAGAGUCUGUUUUAACAAGACUUGGUUAAUUUUGGAAGGGGAAUGCCCUUGGAUUGUGCACCAAACGUAGGCCAUUUUUUUUCAAAGUAUCUGUGUAUUUAUGCACUGCCUGUGCCAAUUCAAUUGCUAAUUUUUGUUAAUUUAACCCAAUCUUCUAAUCAACCUGUUCAGCAAUGUUAAACACAUCUGGAGCAGGUGGGACUUGAACUGAGGACUCCCAGGUUCAGGGCAUGGACAUUACCCCUACACGUGUGAGAGGGCCUAUGACAGUACUCUUAACUAACUGAUUAAAUGUCAGCUGACAAAUUAGAUGUAUCACAUUUUGCAAAUAACUUCAAGGCACAAGAAUUGUUGCCCAACAAGUUUUCCUUGAAUGUUGUCCAGCUUUUCUUGACAAUGUGUGGGCGGUUUGCCCCAAAAACUUCAACCUUUUGUUUUUAACAGCUGAAAUUUUAAUUUUCUAUUCAUAGUUUUGGGAAUCAUUUUACAUCAGUUGGAAAUUACUAAGAACAAUUUGCAGACAAGUUUAUGUAUAGUACUGUCUAUUGGGGUUGGUUGAUAAUGGAACCUUAAUGUCUAUCGGCACUUGCACUACCAUUUUAAUUUUUUUUUCCAAUUUAAAAUUUUCCAAAAUACCUGAAUGCCACAAAAUUGCUUGUUUAUGGUUGUGAUAAUCUAAAAUAGUCACCUGCAUAUAUUCAAUAAUUGGUUUACUUGGGUCAUUUUAUAUCAACUGCAUCAGAAAAUUUGAUUACCAGUGCUGCUGCCAAGUAGGAUCUGUUUUAUAUCAUGAGGAAUUAAGAAACCAAGUAUCCUUUUGAGUAAUUAAAUACUAAGGAAAACUAAAAUAACUUUGUGGCAAGCAUUAUGAAUACUUGAGUUACAAGGUUCUAAAGAAGUUGCUUUUGAUUGAUGCUGACUCUUAGUAAGUUUGCAAUUCAGAUGUACUGUUCAUGUCACAAUAAAUGUUUUGUUCAUUUUUACUGUGUCAUGUGCCUCUACUUUACCU
Stegostoma tigrinum is the source of this 5632-nucleotide long non-coding RNA. RefSeq lists it as uncharacterized. NCBI's taxonomy places the organism in Eukaryota, Metazoa, Chordata, Chondrichthyes, Orectolobiformes, Stegostomatidae. The record is from RefSeq and is a predicted model, not a curated record. The transcript has 3 exons.